GUGUCCCUUCGGCAGCACACACACUAAAACUGGAACAACACAGAGAAGAUUAGCGUGGCCCCUACACCAGGAUGACACACAUAUUUAUGAAGCGUUCCAUAUUUUU
Small nuclear RNA from Molossus molossus (Pallas's mastiff bat), 106 nucleotides. The record is from RefSeq and is a predicted model, not a curated record. Lineage: Eukaryota; Metazoa; Chordata; Mammalia; Chiroptera; Molossidae.